AGUGGGGAAUCUUAGACAAUGGGCGCAAGCCUGAUCUAGCGAUGCCGCGUGAGUGAUGAAGGCCUUAGGGUCGUAAAGCUCUUUCGCCUGUGAAGAUAAUGACGGUAGCAGGUAAAGAAACCCCGGCUAACUCCGUGCCAGCAGCCGCGGUAAUACGGAGGGGGUUAGCGUUGUUCGGAAUUACUGGGCGUAAAGCGCACGUAGGCGGACUAGUCAGUCAGAGGUGAAAUCCCAGGGCUCAACCCUGGAACUGCCUUUGAUACUGCUAGUCUUGAGUUCGAGAGAGGUAAGUGGAAUUCCGAGUGUAGAGGUGAAAUUCGUAGAUAUUCGGAGGAACACCAGUGGCGAAGGCGGCUUACUGGCUCGAUACUGACGCUGAGGUGCGAAAGUGUGGGGAGCAAACAGGAUUAGAUACCCUGGUAGUCCACACCGUAAACGAUGAAUGCCAGACGUCGGGUAGCAUGCUAUUCGGUGUCACACCUAACGGAUUAAGCAUUCCGCCUGGGGNNNACGGUCGCAAGAUUA
Molecule: ribosomal RNA, 525 nt
Filed under: uncultured bacterium
Lineage: Bacteria
Description: bacterial SSU rRNA
Rfam family: Bacterial small subunit ribosomal RNA
Source: RNAcentral